AAAGCACCGUGUCACUGUUGCCAUAUGGAGCAUGUGGUGAUGUCGAACGCUGCUGCUCCACCUAUUUCGUAAGACGGGCUGGCUUUCUUGGUGAUGACAUCUCUGAUCACCCCAUCGUGCCCUGCCGUCAGUGUCCUGUCACCCUUAAUAUAAAAUAACUUACCUAGUCAGAAAUUUAUCUCGCAUCAGUUGUAUGUAUAGUGACAAUCCACCAGGAAUACACCAAUCCACCGUCUACUUAUCAGCUGCUACAACCAUAACUAUUUUGAUAAUGUGUUUUGGUAGUGAUCGAUGAGUGUGUCAGACAAGUGACUUCUUUACAUGUUAAUUGUUGGCAUAGUGACUCUGCCCACCAUCUCUUCAUUUCCGUGUACUCGACAGAUUUGACAACAAGGUGUUAUCUCAGACACGUACGGAGGCCCGGGAGCACAUUACUGCUGCCCUCAAUGCUGCCUUCCCGCACUCUCAACGAAUGCAAAUCAAGUUGAGAAGAAAUGGUACAGCUUGAAGAGUGAAGGGAAGGAGGAAAUCAGCGUCUACAACAAGGUGUUGAAGGGCACAGGUGGUGGGGACCCUCCCAAGCCUCUGUCUGAUGUGGCAACACUUGUACAAAGUAUACUUGGGCCAGAAAAUGUUUGUAUUUCUGGCAUUGCAGAGUUGGAUGCUGUAUCCUUACAGAAUGGGAAUACAGCUUCUGCAGGAAGUGAACAUGAUCUCACAGCCAACAACAAGACUGUUGCAGAAAUGGCUGUGAUUGAAAUCGACCAAUGUGAUGAAAUAUUAGAAGUGCAACUUUGUGAUGAUAAUUAAAAACUUCACGACAUAAGUAUGGCAGGAACUGUUAUUAAACCACCACCACCACCGUCAGCACAUAAGUGUUGCAGCACCUGCAGCUGUAGCACUGCCUGUGAAAAGGCAGUGCUGGAACUGGAGCUGCUCAGAGCACAAGUGGCAGCUGCAAAAGCACAGGCCCGUGUUUUUGAUAUGUGGAGUGAAAAAA
This 1000-nucleotide unclassified non-coding RNA is filed under the name Portunus trituberculatus (swimming crab). Its description in RNAcentral is "uncharacterized LOC123504522, transcript variant X7". The record is from RNAcentral. Lineage: Eukaryota; Metazoa; Arthropoda; Malacostraca; Decapoda; Portunidae.